Molecule: long non-coding RNA, 6622 nt
Filed under: Triticum aestivum (bread wheat)
Lineage: Eukaryota; Viridiplantae; Streptophyta; Magnoliopsida; Poales; Poaceae
Description: long non-coding RNA (TAES_LNC016748)
Rfam family: tRNA (bases 2114-2185)
Source: RNAcentral
UAAUGUCUUGGUGUUUUUUUUACCAGAUCCUUUUUCUAGUAAGUACUAUCAUACGGAUGAUUCAAGUGUUAACAUCAUAAACCACAGUUUUAAGUGAAACAUCAUAUAUCUCCCUUUAUAGUCUCUGAUAAUUUAAGAAGCAAGACAAAAUUCACCGUUCUUCAUACGGCUUAUCUGUGAACAACCUUGUUGCUACACCAUUUACGAUCUCAUCACAUUAUUCAGUUGAACAUGACAUCCAAUCAUAGCUAAUUAGUUUCCAUUUUUGGGAGGAAUGUAUGUGCACUGCUGGCACUUGCACGCCCCCGCAACACACUCGCCAUAUCCGCCGACCCACACACGGUCGAUGCAUGCCUGAUUGCAGCUUUUGUUAUCACAUGGCUUUGGCGACGGGAUAAUGCUUGUCGUACAAGGGAUUCCUUCAACGCCCACUGACGCCUCCGUUGCCACAUCCUGCAAAAUCUCACCAUGAGAUAAAGGGAAGAUCAGAACUUGGCCAUUAUUUGUUUGGACGAGAUUUUGAAGGAACGUAGUACAUGAACAAAUGGGUACCUGAUGCUAGGACAAGGAAGGCGAUGGCCAGGAGCAACAUCUGGCUAGUCCUCAUCUUAGAUACUUGUUGUAUUGAAGGAAAUACUUGUCGAUCGUUGCUUUGCUCUGUGAGUUCUGAAGGAAAACAUCACGGACAGGCCAUUUUAUACCGGAUUUAUGGUAUUAAAGUACAAGAUUGGCUAUGAUUAAAUGUCAUGAUUAUUAGUCUCCAAAUAUUGUUGCCCUGUAAUAAUUACUAUCCAAUAUUACUACCCUGUGUAUAUCUUCUUUUUGUUUGGUUGUAAUAUUCGUUUCGUUUUUUGUUCUGACAGUAUAGAAUAUAUAUGCUACGGUUCAGGGUGUCCACUGAUUUCGACUAAGGCGUGGCAAACCUUGUAUUAUUGUUCCAGUGACCAUUUAUUUUCAGCUCUUGCGGAGAGAGAUAAAAAAUUAUGGGAAAGAAGAUGGAUAUGACAUGCGGACCCAUGCAGUCAGUGAGAGUAGAGAGUGAUCCCGUCCGGGAUCAUUAUUUUCCUAGCGUGACAAACCAGUCAAGACCGGUUUAGGGUUGAGAUAGACCAGGAUCAAAGACUGCAGAGUGUCAAUUUAUUCCUGGCCUCAAGCGCCAGGCACGCGGUCGUCGCCGGAGCGUAUCGACGUGUGGGAACGACCUACGCGCAGCUCAUCGCAGUGCUGGUCGCAGCCAACAAACACGAUGCACACAUAACAUCAACACGCUCGGACUGCCUCUCAAAACAUUUAUGCAGCCUGUUGAGGCUAAGAAUCACCAAACUGAUCUAUCUCACAGUUUCGUUGUCAGGUCAUGAGCCCUCGGGCGCAAACUUCACGUUCCUGAGCAGCAUCCACAACAACCUGCUGGUCGACGGGAUGUCGACGCAGGCCGGCUGGGGCCACGCCUGGAGCAGGUACGCGGGGCCCCUGAGCUACCCCCGCCAGGCGCACCAGUGCGCGUUGACCCCGCUCCUCGCGCACGCCUGGUGGGACGGCCGGUGGCGGAGCCCCACCGGCAGGGACGUCAGGAGGCUACUGGGCUACGGCGUCUCGUUGUCGGACACAGGGGAGGUGGACGAGGAGCGGCUCGCAUGGCACUGUCGGUCGAGGGAAGAUCAUGUCAAGAGGUUCCAUCUUCUCCCGCCGUACAAGAGUUGAGCAAUGGUGAAGGAAGUAGGAUUGAGGUGGGUGAGGCAGGCGCCUCAUGCCAUGCUUUUGGAGAGCUCGGUUUCAAGAGAAGAGAACCGCUGAGACACACACUGAGUAGAGCUAAUGGUAGUAGGCCAGAACGGUCUGAUGGUUACAGUUUUGGUAGGCUGGUGCGUGUGUCGUGCUGGUGGUAUACCAAAAAAGGUGGUCAUGUAGGGGGUUACGGGGGGAAAACGGUGAGGCUUUGUUCCAAUCCAUGUGGAGCAUAAUAGUACCAUAUUUGUCUUCUCCAACCAUUUUCUACCCUCCAGAUCACUCUCUUCACAGUUCAAGAGCUAAAAACCGUACUGAUCUGUUGAUUCUGACCCAAAAACCUUGCUAGUGAACUAUUAAAUAUUGUACAGCCUUAGUAAUAGCAAAAGCCGACCUAGCUCAGUGGUAGAGCGCGUGGCUUUUAACCACGUGGCCGUGGGUUCGAUCCCCACGGUCGGCGUCCCUUUGUGGCCUCCAUUUUCUGCUUCAUAAUAUAGGAAUAGAAAAAAAUCGUGAGUGAUUUCUUUUUUUGCAAAUAAGGUCAUAAAGGAUUAUUACCACUAAGGCCUCCAGAAAAAAAAAAUCAGAAAAUAUCUCUUUUUUUGCGAAUAAGAUCAUAAAGGAUUAUUACCACUAAGGCCUACUUUUGCUUCCUAAGAUAGGAGGAAAAUCAUAUUAAGUGAGGUGGCAUGUAUUUUAAUCUCUACUAGGAAACUCUAGGCUAAUACUUCUUUUUCUUUGAAAUGUGAAAGAUUGAUUCCUAUCUUACAUAGAAUAGAGAUCCAUUCCUGCGAAACAAAGGGUUUCAAAGGAUUUUUAUUUUCCAUUGAAAUUUCUACAAAAGACCCACAAACCAAAGGAGGCCUAAGAAAAAUACACCAUGUUUUUUGUCAUCUCCUGUACAUUCUUCAGUAUAGUUCUCAAUCCGCUCCGCGAAUCCGAUUUCAUGUCUUCACCCCACCAGAUAAAUGUCAAUGAAAACUGUUUGCUGCUUUAUUCUAAUAUACUAUACCCGUGUGUUCAAAAUCCUAUAAACUGGCACCAAAUCAGGGGAGGUUUGUAGGCAUACUUGUCUUUUUUUUUGUGCUAAGAGCUACUCAUAUGUCUAAAUAAUCUGAAAUUUAAAACGCACUUCACACACUAAAUUACCUACCAUGCAAAAUAAAAUUGGAUUUUUUUUGUGUGUGUUUGUUUUUCUUGACCGAAUGCAAAUGAGGCUUGGCUCAGAAAUGGAUAUUCACUAGUGUUGAUGAAAUCACACAAUCGCGCGCCGCCGGCCAUGGAUUUGACCGACCAUGGAUUUGCCCGACCACGGAUUUGACGAUCAGGAUUCGCCCUUUUCUCCCGGACUUCAGACAAAACCGCGGUUUCUAAUAGGAAAUUGUAGGUCAUAAUUGCUUCACUAAUAUAGGAAUAGAAAAAAAAAUCGUAAGUGAUUUCUUUUUUUGCGAAUAAGAUCAUAAAGGAUUAUUACCACUAAGGCCUCCAGAAAAAAAAUCAUAAAAGAUCUCUUUUUUUGCGAAUAAGAUCAUAAAGGAUUAUUGCCACUAAGGCCUCCUUUUGCUUCCUAAGAUAGGAGGAAAAUCAUAUUAAGCGAGGUGGCAUGUAUUUUAAUCUCUACUAGGAAACUCUAGGCUAAUACUUCUUUUUCUUUGAAAUGUGAAGGAUUGAUUCCUAUCUUACAUAGAAUAGAGAUCCAUUCCUGCGAAACAAAGGGUUUCAAAGGAUUUUUAUUUUCCAUUGAAAUUUCUUUCUCAUAGAAUUUCUACAAAAGUCCCACAAACCAAAGGAGGCCUAAGAAAAAUACACCAUGUUUUUUGUCAUCUCCUGUACAUUCUUUAGUAUAGUUCUCAAUCCGCUCCGCAAAUCUGAUUUCAUGUCUUCACCCCACCAGAUAAACGUCAAUGAAAACUGUUUGCUGCUUUAUUCUAAUAUACUAUACCCGUGUGUUCAAAAUCCCAUAAACUGGAGCUACUCAUAUGUCUAAAUAAUCUGAAAUUUAAAACGCACUUCACGCACUAAAUUACCUACCAUGCAAAAAAAAAUUGCAUUUUUUUUUGUGUGUGUUUGUUUUUCUUGACCGAAUGCAAAUGAGGCUUGGCUCAGAAAUGGAUAUUCACUAGUGUUGAUGAAAUCACGCAAUCGCGCGCAGCCGGCCAUGGAUUUGACCGACCACGGAUUUGACGAUCAGGAUUCGCCCUUUUCUCCCGGACUUCAGACAAAACCGCGGUUACUAAUAGGAAAUUGUAGGUCAUAAUCGCUUCACUAAUUGUGUGCCGUUGGGGUGCACGUAUGUGUCGUAAUGGUAAGUUCUAUAUGCCGCUUGCUGUAACAGAUAUUCUACAUAACGCCCAGACCGGUGCGCCAAUGGGCCGAGGUCAAUUUAACUUUACCUCCUCGUUUUUACUUCGUUUUUUCUUUUCGACAGCACCUGCCUUUUCUGUCUCGGUUUUCUAUUCUGGUUUUUCAUUUGUUACUUUUUCGGUUUUCGUUUUGAUAUUUUCUUGGGAUUCUUAGGGUCUUUACGGUUUUUGCUAGGUUCUCUUUCUGAUUUUAUUUUUAGUGGUUUUCUACUGGUUUUCCCUUUCUUAUCUGCUGUUGCGUCUUCUGUUUUUAUUUUAUUCUUUUUCAUUUCCCCUUCUGGAAACCACAUCAGGGCUGGCUUUUUAACUACUCGUAUACUCCCUUCGUUUUUAAAUAUUUGUCUUUCUAGAGAUUUCAACAAGUGACUACAUACGAAGCAAAAUGAUUGAAUCUACACUCUAAAAUAUGUCUAUAUACAUUCCUAUGUGGUAACCAUUUGAAAUCUCUAAAAAGACAAAUAUUUAGGAACGGAGAGAGUAGAAGUGGAGAAUCAAAUCCAUUUUAUCCAUACAUAUGCUCUAAUUCUACGGUUCACAACACUUACAUGCUUAGCAUCGAGCAUCAAACACGCUUAACGUUCUAAUUGCCCAUCACUGAUGUUGGUUAUAAACACAUUGAACCACUCCAUAUGAAUUUUUUCACGCAAAUAAUAUCUUACUAAGUAUUAACAUGCACCAAAUACCAACGUGCAUCUAAUAUCUUACCAAAUACCAACGUGCAACUAGUAUUCUAUCUAAUGUCAACGUGCAUUCCAUUUACACAAUUACACAAUUACUAGGGAAAUUUCAAUUACUAGUAGGAAAAUAAAGCUCUGUUAUUGGAGAAAAAGAAACAUGAUGCGGUAUCAAUCUUCCAGCUCUCCAACCCAGCGACCCAUUUCAUCGGUUUGGAUCAUCCGGACGAAAAAGUUGGCCCAACGGGACGACCAAAAUGGAUAAAGCGUCCGCCCGCUGUCCGUUUGUUGUUCGUUUGGGUCACCACAUUUGGACGGCGCACCUCCUCCUCCCGUGCACCUCUGCCGUCCAAUGCCCACCCCACGCGCCAUGCCGUCCUGUAACAUGCAAGUCCGAUGUUGGUCGGGUGCUCCUCGGAUGCUCGUCGCCCGCAGGUCGGACGUUGUUCAGACGCAAGUCAGAUGCUGGUCGGAGGCAGGGCCAGAGAGAAGCAGCAUCGGAGCACAUCGGCAUUGUCGCGCCCUUGCAUGCGUGCGUGUCGGUAGCCGCGCCCGGUAGAAGGUGCUCGUAGUCCUUGCCCUUCGGCGCUGCUCAAGGCUGAUCUCAUGGAGNNNNNNNNNNNNNNNNNNNNNNNNNNNNNNNNNNNNNNNNNNNNNNNNNNNNNNNNNNNNNNNNNNNNNNNNNNNNNNNNNNNNNNNNNNNNNNNNNNNNNNNNNNNNNNNNNNNNNNNNNNNNNNNNNNNNNNNNNNNNNNNNNNNNNNNNNNNNNNNNNNNNNNNNNNNNNNNNNNNNNNNNNNNNNNNNNNNNNNNNNNNNNNNNNNNNNNNNNNNNNNNNNNNNNNNNNNNNNNNNNNNNNNNNNNNNNNNGGCCACGCGUCGCCGCGCCACACCCGGCAGCGCCUCGCCUCGCCUUGCCCAGCCGCGCCCUGGCAGCGCCCGACCUUGCGCUCGUCGCGCCAUGGUCGUUGCGCUCGCCGUGCCGCCCCUCCGUGGGGUUCGAGCUCCCGUCGGCCUCCCCGCGUGCUGCGAGCUCCCCUGCCAGCUACGUGUUUGAGGAAAUGUCAGGGCGGACAUGUCGAAAAUGGGUCGGCUAUCGUUGGGCGCACCGGUCGACUCAAUUGAAAAAAUAGACACGGACGAGCGGACGGCCUGACACAAACAGAAAAAAGGACAAAAUCGACGUGCACUCGGGUCGCCGGUUGGAGUUGCUUUAAAGGCCAAUGAAACCCAGCAGUGACGCUAGUAUCUUGGUGGUGGAGUUGCUCUAAAGGCCAAUGAAACCCAGCAGUGACGCUAGUAUCUUGGUGGUCUUAAUUGGGUCAUUGCAUGGUGGCAAGGAGAAGUUAGCCGAGUAACAGUACUAGUACAACUCACGAGUCACAACCAUGUAGGGCACUCUCCAUCUGAUGAGCCGACACAAUGUACUACCCGAAGGAGUAUAGUUUUUCGUCUAAAAGCAAGGCUAAUGUCUUGGUGUGUUAUUUUACCGAAUCAAUUUUCUAGUAGUACUAUCAUACGGAUAAUUCAAGUGUUAACAUCAUAUACCACAGUUUUAAGUGUCAACAUCAUAUCUCUAUACUUCAUAGUUCUUCAUACGGCUUAUCGGUGAACAACCUUGUUGCUACACCAUUUACGAUCUCAUCACAUUAUUCAGUUGAACAUGACUUCCAAUCAUAGCUAAUUAGUUUCCAUUUUUGGGAGGAAUGUAUGUGCACUGCUGGCACUUACACGCCCCCGCAACACACUCGCCAUAUCCGCCGACCCACACACGGUCGAUGCAUGCCUGAUUGCAGGUAUUGCUAUCACAUGGCUUUGGCGACGGGAUAAUGCUUGUCGUACAAGGGAUUCCUUCAACGCCCG